UGGGGAAUAUUGCACAAUGGGCGCAAGCCUGAUGCAGCCAUGCCGCGUGUAUGAAGAAGGCCUUCGGGUUGUAAAGUACUUUCAGCGGGGAGGAAGGGAGUAAAGUUAAUACCUUUACUCAUUGACGUUACCCGCAGAAGAAGCACCGGCUAACUCCGUGCCAGCAGCCGCGGUAAUACGGAGGGUGCAAGCGUUAAUCGGAAUUACUGGGCGUAAAGCGCACGCAGGCGGUUUGUUAAGUCAGAUGUGAAAUCCCCGGGCUCAACCUGGGAACUGCAUCUGAUACUGGCAAGCUUGAGUCUCGUAGAGGGGGGUAGAAUUCCAGUUGUAGCGGUGAAAUGCGUAGAGAUCUGGAGGAAUACCGGUGGCGAAGGCGGCCCCCUGGACGAAGACUGACGCUCAGGUGCGAAAGCGUGGGGAGCAAACAGG
Molecule: ribosomal RNA, 429 nt
Filed under: Chloroflexota bacterium
Lineage: Bacteria; Bacillati; Chloroflexota
Description: Chloroflexi bacterium partial 16S ribosomal RNA
Rfam family: Bacterial small subunit ribosomal RNA
Source: RNAcentral